AAAUUGAAGAGUUUGAUCAUGGCUCAGAUUGAACGCUGGCGGCAGGCCUAACACAUGCAAGUCGAACGGUAACAGGAAGAAGCUUGCUUCUUUGCUGACGAGUGGCGGACGGGUGAGUAAUGUCUGGGAAACUGCCUGAUGGAGGGGGAUAACUACUGGAAACGGUAGCUAAUACCGCAUAACGUCGCAAGACCAAAGAGGGGGACCUUCGGGCCUCUUGCCAUCGGAUGUGCCCAGAUGGGAUUAGCUAGUAGGUGAGGUAACGGCUCACCUAGGCGACGAUCCCUAGCUGGUCUGAGAGGAUGACCAGCCACACUGGAACUGAGACACGGUCCAGACUCCUACGGGAGGCAGCAGUGGGGAAUAUUGCACAAUGGGCGCAAGCCUGAUGCAGCCAUGCCGCGUGUAUGAAGAAGGCCUUCGGGUUGUAAAGUACUUUCAGCGGGGAGGAAGGGAGUAAAGUUAAUACCUUU
This 473-nucleotide ribosomal RNA is filed under the name Escherichia coli. RNAcentral describes it as "bacterial SSU rRNA". It matches the Rfam family "Bacterial small subunit ribosomal RNA", at positions 1 to 470 of the family's 1533-position model. Lineage: Bacteria; Pseudomonadati; Pseudomonadota; Gammaproteobacteria; Enterobacterales; Enterobacteriaceae. The record is from RNAcentral.